Coffea arabica (coffee) is the source of this 365-nucleotide long non-coding RNA. RefSeq lists it as uncharacterized. Lineage: Eukaryota; Viridiplantae; Streptophyta; Magnoliopsida; Gentianales; Rubiaceae. The record is from RefSeq and is a predicted model, not a curated record.
UUUUUUGCGCAUUAUGGAUUAUUUGCAUUCUUGACCGCUGGAGUCAUUUAGAUGAAGUCUUUUGCUAUUCAAAUCAGAGGCAUGGCUGUGGGCCUCAUGGCAUCUAGAAAAUAAUCAUAUGUACUGGUAUCAAGACCUCAGUAUGCAUAGAAGUGCAGAUCUUGCCUUCAUUCACCACUGUUCAACCCAUUGGUAAGCACAACGAGUAGGAAUCUGCAUUAUGGAGCGUUGCUUUACUGAUGCUGACUGUAUUGUCUUUCUGUGGGAUGUUGGUUCAUGUGUCAUGUGGUCGAUGCCUUGUAUAAGAGCAACUGAUGAUUGUGUAAGUGCUAAUAAAGCAAUAGAACAUUGAAGGCAUGCUGUCA